GCUCUUGUGGCGCAAUGGUAGCGCGUCAGACUUCUACUUUGAACAAAGAUGUUUGAAGGAAGCUUAAUCUGAAGGUUCUGGGUUCGAGUCCCCGCAGGAGCU
Molecule: transfer RNA, 102 nt
Organism: Sphaerobolus stellatus SS14
Lineage: Eukaryota; Fungi; Basidiomycota; Agaricomycetes; Geastrales; Sphaerobolaceae
Rfam family: tRNA
About the family: Transfer RNA (tRNA) molecules are approximately 80 nucleotides in length.
Source: Rfam